This 375-nucleotide ribosomal RNA is filed under the name uncultured Allobosea sp. Its description in RNAcentral is "bacterial SSU rRNA". It matches the Rfam family "Bacterial small subunit ribosomal RNA", at positions 107 to 518 of the family's 1533-position model. Lineage: Bacteria; Pseudomonadati; Pseudomonadota; Alphaproteobacteria; Hyphomicrobiales; Alloboseaceae. The record is from RNAcentral.
UGAGUACACGUGGGAACGUACCUUUCGGUUCGGAAUAAUCCAGGGAAACUUGGACUAAUACCGGCUACGCCCUUCGGGGGAAAGAUUUAUCGCCGAAAGAUCGGCCCGCGUCUGAUUAGCUAGUUGGUGAGGUAAAGGCUCACCAAGGCGACGAUCAGUAGCUGGUCUGAGAGGAUGAUCAGCCACAUUGGGACUGAGACACGGCCCAAACUCCUACGGGAGGCAGCAGUGGGGAAUAUUGGACAAUGGGCGAAAGCCUGAUCCAGCCAUGCCGCGUGAGUGAUGAAGGCCUUAGGGUUGUAAAGCUCUUUUGUCCGGGAAGAUAAUGACUGUACCGGAAGAAUAAGCCCCGGCUAACUUCGUGCCAGCAGCCGC